AGAGUUUGAUCAUGGCUCAGAUUGAACGCUGGCGGCAGGCCUAACACAUGCAAGUCGAGCGGAAACGAGUUAUCUGAACCUUCGGGGAACGAUAACGGCGUCGAGCGGCGGACGGGUGAGUAAUGCCUAGGAAAUUGCCCUGAUGUGGGGGAUAACCAUUGGAAACGAUGGCUAAUACCGCAUAAUACCUACGGGUCAAAGAGGGGGACCUUCGGGCCUCUCGCGUCAGGAUAUGCCUAGGUGGGAUUAGCUAGUUGGUGAAGUAAUGGCUCACCAAGGCGACGAUCCCUAGCUGGUCUGAGAGGAUGAUCAGCCACACUGGAACUGAGACACGGUCCAGACUCCUACGGGAGGCAGCAGUGGGGAAUAUUGCACAAUGGGCGCAAGCCUGAUGCAGCCAUGCCGCGUGUGUGAAGAAGGCCUUCGGGUUGUAAAGCACUUUCAGUCGUGAGGAAGGUGGUGUAGUUAAUAGCUGCAUUAUUUGACGUUAGCGACAGAAGAAGCACCGGCUAACUCCGUGCCAGCAGCCGCGGUAAU
RNAcentral lists this ribosomal RNA (537 nucleotides) under uncultured bacterium. RNAcentral's name for it is "bacterial SSU rRNA". It matches the Rfam family "Bacterial small subunit ribosomal RNA", at positions 8 to 524 of the family's 1533-position model. The record is from RNAcentral.